RNAcentral lists this ribosomal RNA (462 nucleotides) under uncultured bacterium. RNAcentral describes it as "SSU rRNA". It matches the Rfam family "Bacterial small subunit ribosomal RNA", at positions 26 to 518 of the family's 1533-position model. The record is from RNAcentral.
AGAACGAACGCUGGCGGCAUGCCUAACACAUGCAAGUCGAACGCUCAUCCGGCUUCGGCCGGAUGGGAGUGGCGCACGGGUGAGUAGCGCGUGGGAACCUGCCCUGUUGUGGGGGAUAACCGAGGGAAACUUCGGCUAAUACCGCAUGCGCCCCGGCGAAAGCCGGGGGAAAGAUUUAUCGCAGCAGGAGGGGCCCGCGUCGGAUUAGGUAGUUGGUGGGGUAACGGCCCACCAAGCCGAUGAUCCGUAGCUGGUCUGAGAGGAUGAUCAGCCACACUGGGACUGAGACACGGCCCAGACUCCUACGGGAGGCAGCAGUGGGGAAUAUUGGACAAUGGGGGCAACCCUGAUCCAGCAAUGCCGCGUGAGUGAUGAAGGCCUUAGGGUUGUAAAGCUCUUUCGCCCGCGACGAUGAUGACGGUAGCGGGAGAAGAAGCCCGGCUAACUCGUGCCAGCAGCCGC